Molecule: non-coding RNA, 31 nt
Filed under: Mus musculus (house mouse)
Lineage: Eukaryota; Metazoa; Chordata; Mammalia; Rodentia; Muridae
Also listed under: 1 other name
Source: RNAcentral
UGUGAAAUAAGUCAGGCACAGCUAAACAAGU